This 275-nucleotide long non-coding RNA is filed under the name Malus domestica (apple). RNAcentral describes it as "long non-coding RNA (MDOM_LNC002759)". Lineage: Eukaryota; Viridiplantae; Streptophyta; Magnoliopsida; Rosales; Rosaceae. The record is from RNAcentral.
CAAAGUGAAGCAGCCUCACCCAACUUUCAGCCUCACUUAACCCUUCAUCCUCUCUGAAAUGGCUUUCCAACAAACCCUCUCAAGUCACUCUGUAUUUUUCAUCCCCUGGGAUACCCCUGUAAACAACCCAUCCAGAGCACAAGUAUUUCAUAUCAUAAAGGUUGAGAGCACGAGUAUCUCAUAUCAUGCUUUCUCCCUGUCCUUUCUCCAGCCAGCACCUGCUCUCGAGUACUCAUCAUCUUAUGCUUCCGCUUCGUCUCUCACGUAUAAGGGAA